Molecule: ribosomal RNA, 486 nt
Filed under: uncultured bacterium
Lineage: Bacteria
Description: bacterial SSU rRNA
Rfam family: Bacterial small subunit ribosomal RNA
Source: RNAcentral
GAACGCUAGCGACAGGCUUAACACAUGCAAGGUCGAGGGGUAACAGGGUAGCAAUACCGCUGACGACCGGCGCACGGGUGAGUAACGCGUAUCGCAACCUGCCUAGUAACUGGGGAAUAGCUCCCUGAAAGGGGAAUUAACACCGCAUAACACUAUUGAUUCGCAUGGAUUGGUAGUUAAAUGUAGCGAUACAGGUUAUAGAUGGGCAUGCGUGACAUUAGCUAGUUGGUGAGGUAACGGCUCACCAAGGCUACGAUGUCUAGGGGUUCUGAGAGGAAGGUCCCCCACACUGGUACUGAGACACGGACCAGACUCCUACGGGAGGCAGCAGUGAGGAAUAUUGGUCAAUGGGCGCAAGCCUGAACCAGCCAUGUCGCGUGCAGGAAGACUGCCCUAUGGGUUGUAAACUGCUUUUAUAGUAGAAGAAACACAUCUACGAGUAGAUGUCUGCCAGUAUACUAUGAAUAAGCAUCGGCUAACUCCGUG